UGGGGAAUAUUGGACAAUGGGGGCAACCCUGAUCCAGCCAUGCCGCGUGAGUGAAGAAGGCCUUAGGGUUGUAAAGCUCUUUCACCCGUGACGAUGAUGACGGUAGCGGGAGAAGAAGCCCCGGCUAAUUCCGUGCCAGCAGCCGCGGUAAUACGUAGGGGGCUAGCGUUAUCCGGAAUUACUGGGCGUAAAGGGUGCGUAGGUGGUUUCUUAAGUCAGAGGUGAAAGGCUACGGCUCAACCGUAGUAAGCCUUUGAAACUGGGAAACUUGAGUGCAGGAGAGGAGAGUGGAAUUCCUAGUGUAGCGGUGAAAUGCGUAGAUAUUAGGAGGAACACCAGUUGCGAAGGCGGCUCUCUGGACUGUAACUGACACUGAGGCACGAAAGCGUGGGGAGCAAACA
Molecule: ribosomal RNA, 401 nt
Filed under: uncultured prokaryote
Description: bacterial SSU rRNA
Rfam family: Bacterial small subunit ribosomal RNA
Source: RNAcentral